RNAcentral lists this RNase P RNA (357 nucleotides) under Pseudomonadales bacterium. RNAcentral's name for it is "RNase P RNA component class A". It matches the Rfam family "Bacterial RNase P class A". From Rfam's summary of the family: Ribonuclease P (RNase P) is a ubiquitous endoribonuclease, found in archaea, bacteria and eukarya as well as chloroplasts and mitochondria. Lineage: Bacteria; Pseudomonadati; Pseudomonadota; Gammaproteobacteria; Pseudomonadales. The record is from RNAcentral.
GGAGUUGGCCAGACAAUCGCUCUGCCUGGUUGCAGGUGGGGAGGAAAGUCCGGGCUCCACAGGGCAGGGCGCCAGGUAACGCCUGGGGGGCGCGAGCCCACGGAAAGUGCAACAGAAAAGAUACCGCCCGCUGGCGACACAUCGUCGGUGUGGUAAGGGUGAAAUGGUGCGGUAAGAGCGCACCGCACGGGUGGCAACACGCGUGGCAUGGCAAACCCCGCCCGGAGCAAGACCAAAUAGGAAUCCAUCGGUGCGGCCCGCACCGGAUUCGGGUAGGUCGCUAGAGCCGCGGAGUGAUUCGCGGCCCAGAUGAAUGAUUGUCCUCGACAGAACCCGGCUUAUCGGCCGGCUCCAUGC